UACGUAGGGUCCGAGCGUUGUCCGGAAUUACUGGGCGUAAAGAGCUCGUAGGUGGUUUGUCGCGUUGUUCGUGAAAACUCACAGCUCAACUGUGGGCGUGCGGGCGAUACGGGCAGACUGGAGUACUGCAGGGGAGACUGGAAUUCCUGGUGUAGCGGUGGAAUGCGCAGAUAUCAGGAGGAACACCGGUGGCGAAGGCGGGUCUCUGGGCAGUAACUGACACUGAGAAGCGAAAGCAUGGGGAGCGAACAGG
Molecule: ribosomal RNA, 253 nt
Filed under: uncultured bacterium
Lineage: Bacteria
Description: partial 16S ribosomal RNA
Rfam family: Bacterial small subunit ribosomal RNA
Source: RNAcentral